Molecule: ribosomal RNA, 478 nt
Filed under: uncultured bacterium
Lineage: Bacteria
Description: partial 16S ribosomal RNA
Rfam family: Bacterial small subunit ribosomal RNA
Source: RNAcentral
GAUGAACGCUAGCGGGAGGCCUAACACAUGCAAGCCGAGCGGUAGAGUUUCUUCGGAAACUUGAGAGCGGCGCACGGGUGCGUAACACGUGUGCAACCUACCUUUAUCUGGGGGAUAGCCUUUCGAAAGGAAGAUUAAUACCUCAUAAUAUAAUGAUUGGCAUCAAUUAUUAUUGAAAACUCCGGUGGAUAGAGAUGGGCACGCGCAAGAUUAGAUAGUUGGUGAGGUAACGGCUCACCAAGUCAAUGAUCUUUAGGGGUCCUGAGAGGGAGAUCCCCCACACUGGUACUGAGACACGGACCAGACUCCUACGGGAGGCAGCAGUGAGGAAUAUGGGACAAUGGGUGAGAGCCUGAUCCAGCCAGCCCGCGUGAAGGAUGACGGUCCUAUGGAUUGUAAACUUCUUUUGUACAGGGAUAAACCUACCCUCGUGAGGGUAGCUGAAGGUACUGUACGAAUAAGCACCGGCUAACUCCGU